Molecule: non-coding RNA, 86 nt
Organism: Stygiomarasmius scandens
Lineage: Eukaryota; Fungi; Basidiomycota; Agaricomycetes; Agaricales; Campanellaceae
Source: the annotation of a GenBank genome assembly
GGGCACAUGGUGUAGUUGGUUAUCACAUCCGCUUAGCACAUCUGGGUGAAUGCGGGGGGUGCUGGGUUCAAUUCCCAGUGUGUCCA